GAUGAAGAACGUAGCGAAAUGCGAUAAGUAAUGUGAAUUGCAGAAUUCAGUGAAUCAUCGAAUCUUUGAACGCACAUUGCGCCCGCCAGUAUUCUGGCGGGCAUGCCUGUUCGAGCGUCAUUACAACCCUCAGGCCCCCGGGCCUGGCGUUGGGGAUCGGCGGAGCCCCCCGUGGGCACACGCCGUCCCCCAAAUACAGUGGCGGUCCCGCCGCAGCUUCCAUCGUGUAGUAGCUAACACCUCGCGACUGGAGAGCGACGCGGCCACGCCGUAAAACACCCAACUCUUCUGAAGUUGACCUCGAAUCAGGUAGGAAUACCCGCUGAACUUAAGCAUAUCAAUAAGCGGAGGA
Molecule: unclassified non-coding RNA, 352 nt
Filed under: soil metagenome
Description: partial contains 5.8S ribosomal RNA, internal transcribed spacer 2, and large subunit ribosomal RNA
Rfam family: 5.8S ribosomal RNA (bases 1-120)
Source: RNAcentral